Molecule: ribosomal RNA, 253 nt
Filed under: uncultured bacterium
Lineage: Bacteria
Description: partial 16S ribosomal RNA
Rfam family: Bacterial small subunit ribosomal RNA
Source: RNAcentral
UACGGAGGGUGCAAGCGUUGUCCGGAUUUAUUGGGUUUAAAGGGUGCGUAGGUGGCUGAUUAAGUCAUGGGUGAAAGCCCGCAGCUCAACUGUGGAAUUGCCUGUGAUACUGAUUAGCUUGAGUGCGGUUGAGGCAGCUGGAAUUGGUGGUGUAGCGGUGAAAUGCAUAGAUACCACCAGGAACACCGAUUGCGAAGGCAGGUUGCUAAGCCGUAACUGACACUGAGGCACGAAAGCGUGGGGAGCAAACAGG